CCAAACAACAAAAGCAUGUUACAUGUAGUCUUUCUGAAAUGUUUUCUGUCACCCUCCAUCAUCAGGUGGGCCCAGCGGUGGAUGCCAUACCAACCGUACCGUACUGACCAAAUGUGGGGGCGUUUCCUUUGCGCUUUCUCGCAUACAUUCAACUAUCUGUUCUUGCCUUUCAGCUGGGCAAGUGGAGCACUCGAUCCUGAAGGCGCUGCUGCUCACAAUAGCUUGACAUCAAUCAAGAGGGGUGUCUGGGCUAUGAUUGCAGCCUUCCUUGCCUACUGCACGCUUCAGGCACCUUCAACGAUACUUAUUAGGCCCCACCCUGCUGUCUGGCACCUGGUACAUGGACUGGCUGUCGUUUACCUCGUUGCUCUUAUCUUCCUCCUUUUCCAGAAUCGUGACGAUGCUCGCCAGUUCAUGAAACUCCUUCACCCUGAUCUUGGAGUUGAAUUGCCAGAGAGAACUUAUGGAGCUGAUUGUCGUUUGUAUGUUCCAGAAAACCCUAAAAACAAGUUCAUAAAUAUUUAUGUAUGAUUUUUUUGUAUGAACCUUCCUACUCUAUGAAGACGCACAUGCUUUGCUCUA
Molecule: RNA transcript, 582 nt
Organism: Zea mays
Lineage: Eukaryota; Viridiplantae; Streptophyta; Magnoliopsida; Poales; Poaceae
Gene name: CDP-diacylglycerol--serine O-phosphatidyltransferase pseudogene
Exons: 5
Source: RefSeq, marked validated